AAAGGAAAAAAAAUAUAGAAAGGAAACAGAAUGAAACGAAACAGAGAGCAAGGAAGGAAAGAAAAAAAAGAAAGGGAGAAAAGGGAAAUUUUAGAUUUCAAGGUUUGAAAGUUUAAUUGGUAAGUCAAUUUAGCCCUUUUUACUUAAUUUUGAUGUUUUUGAAGCUUUGGAACAAGAUUUUGAUGAAAUUAAGUUGAUAUUUUGAAAGUUAUUAGAUUUCUAGAUAAUGUUCAUGUUGAGUAAAAUGAUGAAUUAAGGGCUAAAUUGGUAGAAAUUCAAGUUAGAAAUGAAAUAAGGAUUGAAUUGUAAAGUGAUUCAUAAGUUUUAUGCUUUAAGGACUAAAUUGAAAGAAUUUUUGAAAUUAUGGUUUUAUGAUGAAAAAUAGAUAAUUAUGUCUAAGUUUGGUUAAAAAUUGAUUAGAAAUAAAGUAUGAAUUAAGAUAGAAAAGUAAGUGAAUUUAGUUAGGAUUAAAUUGAAAUUAGAAGUAGAAAAUCAACAUUUUGCACUAAGACUAUUUUGGACAGCAGCAGUAGUCUAAGUUUAAAAAAUCACCAAAAAUUGUAGAAAUUGAAUUAGAGGAUGAAUAAAAUAUAGAAUUAAAUAUUAUUGAGUCUAGUUUCUUAUAGAAGAAACGGUAUAAGAAAUUGAAUUGUAAAUUAUGAGAUAUAAUGAAUUUUGUGAGACAAGGUCAGAAUGAAUUUGGUUUCCUCUGUUCUGACUUUGUAAAAUCACCAAAAAUUGGAGAAAAAUAAUUAGAGGCUUAAAGUUAUGUGUUUAGAAUCCCUAAUGAGUCUAUUUUCAGGAGAAAUUAACGGGAAUAUUAUCCGAGUUCUGUACUGUGAGAUAAUUAAUUUUUAGUGAAGAAGGGUCGAAACUGUCAGACAGCAGAAUAGGGGUGAAUUUAAAGAAUAAACUGUACUUAAUGGCUAAACCAAAAAUUCUGAAAAUUUUAUGGUAAGAAGAUUUGUGAGUCUAGUUUCAGGAAAUAUUAGCGGAUCUUAAUUUAGAAUUCUGUAACUCAAGAUAUAAAUUAGUAAUGUAUUAAUGAUUAUGAAUUGUAUUAAUUUCGUAGUCACGGAAAUCUCGGCUAAGAAAGGACAAGACAAAGUCAACGGGAGUUAGCUCGAAAAUUACGGUUUGUAUUUCUAUAACCCCGAACUUAAUAUUUAAUUAUUGAAUUUAUUAUUUAUUAUGUAUGGUAGGUGCAUUGAUUAAAUUAUUUGAAAUAAAAUGAAUAUUGAUUGAAAUUGAAGGGUGAAUUUAAUUAAUAAUUGUUGUAUUUUAAUUGAAUGCUAUGGUAAAUAAUUAAAGUAUGAAUUAUUGGUAUUGUGUUUUUUUUGAAAUGAUUUGAUUUGAAAAUGUGGUGAAAUAAUUAUGAACAUGUGUUUAUUUUGAAAUUGAAUAUUUAUUAGUGAAAAGUGAAUGGAAUUAUAUUGAAUUGAAAAAAUAUAUAAUUAAUUAAUUAAAAUAUGAAUUAAUUGAAAACUGAAAAGUGAAUUAAAUACCCUAUUAACUAGUCGGGCUAGUCGGAUAUAGUUGGCAUGCCAUAGGAUAUGAAAGAGUACGGGUUUUUGCCGACUUACUGAUCAGGCACUUAUGUGCCGACUACUGUUACUGUUACCGUUACUGUUACCGAUUCGGCACUUUGUGUGUUGGAUAUUGUUACUGUUACCGUUACUGUUACUGUUUUGGAUUUGUUCCGAUGAGUUACUCUGUGUACUGUACUGUUACUGUUCCGGAUUUGUUCCGAUGAGGUACUCUGUGUACCGUAUUGCUACUAUUACUGUUACUGUUUCGGCUUUGGCUGAUGAGGCACUAUGUGCCGUACUGGUGUGUUGGUUGGAUCUGUGUAUCCGUCUGAGUCCGAGUCAUGUUAAUAGGGGUAAAUAAAGGAACUGGAAAGAUCGACUGUUACUGAAUAAUUUAAUUGUUACUGAAUAACUGAUUAUUCCUGAAUAAUUGAUUGUUACCGAAUAACUGACUGUUAUUGAAUAAAUAAUCGUUCUGAUUGACUGGUUGUUAAUGAAUAUUACUGAUUGAUUAAUUGCUAUUGAAAAAUAAUAAAUGAUUUUGAAUUUAAAGUAGACCAAGACAUUGGUUGGAAAGUGAAUGUUUGAAUACUCAUUGAGUUUGAAUAGUUCAAUAUAUAAAAAUUAAUAUGUUUUAUAAUUGUUUAAGUGUUCGGAUUAUAGAAAUACCACUGAGUGUAUACUCAGCGUACGGUUUGUUUCCGUGUGCAGGUUAAGGUUAGACCGCUGAAUCAGCAUCCCAAGCCAAUCCCAAAUUCAAUGAGGUAAAGUAUGUUGAGUAUUGGUAAUGGCAUGUACCUAGGAUAUCUUAUGAGAGUCAUUUAGGUUGUGAAAGUAUUGAUAAAAUAAGUAAAUUAUGGUUGGCAAUUGUAUAUAGUAUGAAUUUGAAAUUUGAAAGAAAAAUUCAUUGUAAUUCAAAAUUAGUUUUGAAUUGAUUUUACUGUUCAUAUUAGACCGUGAGGGC
RNAcentral lists this long non-coding RNA (2493 nucleotides) under Gossypium barbadense (sea-island cotton). RNAcentral describes it as "long non-coding RNA (GBAR_LNC004751)". The record is from RNAcentral. Lineage: Eukaryota; Viridiplantae; Streptophyta; Magnoliopsida; Malvales; Malvaceae.